Ctenopharyngodon idella (grass carp) is the source of this 2276-nucleotide long non-coding RNA. RefSeq lists it as uncharacterized. The transcript has 3 exons. NCBI's taxonomy places the organism in Eukaryota, Metazoa, Chordata, Actinopteri, Cypriniformes, Xenocyprididae. The record is from RefSeq and is a predicted model, not a curated record.
AUUGUUCUCCUGCAUACUUAUUAUUAUUAUUAUUAAUGGUGCUUGCCAAAGGCAAAGCAUCAUUAUUGUUCUCCUGCAUACUUAUUAAUGGUGCUUGCCAAAGGCAAAGCAUCAUUAUUGUUCUCCUGCAUACUUAUUAUUAUUAUUAUUAAUGGUGCUUGCCAAAGGCAAAGCAUCAUUAUUGUUCUCCUGCAUACUUAUUAUUAUUAAUGGUGCUUGCCAAAGGCAAAGCAUCAUUAUUGUUCUCCUGCAUACUUAUUAUUAUUAAUGGUGCUUGCCAAAGGCAAAGCAUCAUUAUUGUUCUCCUGCAUACUUAUUAUUAUUAUUAAUGGUGCUUGCCAAAGGCAAAGCAUCAUUAUUGUUCUCCUGCAUACUUAUUAUUAUUAUUAAUGGUGCUUGCCAAAGGCAAAGCAUCAUUAUUGUUCUCCUGCAUACUUAUUAAUGGUGCUUGCCAAAGGCAAAGCAUCAUUAUUGUUCUCCUGCAUACUUAUUAUUAUUAAUGGUGCUUGCCUCUGGCAAAGCAUCAUUAUUGUUCUCCUGCAUACUUAUUAAUGGUGCUUGCCUCUGGCAAAGCAUCAUUAUUGUUCUCCUGCAUACUUAUUAUUAUUAUUAUUAUUAUUAAUGGUGCUUGCCAAAGGCAAAGCAUCAUUAUUGUUCUCCUGCAUACUUAUUAAUGGUGCUUGCCAAAGGCAAAGCAUCAUUAUUGUUCUCCUGCAUACUUAUUAUUAUUAUUAUUCUUCUUCUUCUGGACAAAACUUCGGCGCGUAACUUGUCCCGCAGUUUUUGUCCUAGACCCAUGAAUGAGGUGUCAAAUCGACCGGCUCAUUGAGGAGAGGUGUGCUAUGACUUUUAUAAGCGAUCGGCCCAACGAUGUUCGCACAGGGGGCGAAAAAGCGGCCAAAAAAGUCCCAUUGACUUUCAAUGGCGGAAUGUUCAGAAAUUUGAAUCUCAACUGUCACUUUCUCACACACGCACACACACGCAGGGCCUUAGAACCCUUUCUGUCACUCACUCACAUCUCUCACUAUUGAUCACAGUGUCAUAGAGACAAGGGGGCGGGCUCAUUUCACUCAGGCAACCAAUCAGUCUCUCAGGAUCAAUGUGACGCUAUUAAGCCACGCCCUAGCAACCAUAUAGAGCACCAUAGCAACAGGUUCCAUAGACUUCCAUUCAAAAAGAUCAAAGAUAUUCCUUUGGAUAGAAGUGUCAUAGGAACAUGAGGGUGGGCUCAUUUGACUCAGGACAGCAAACGGCCAAUCACGAAUCACCUUCAAGACUUCAUAGCCACGCCCUAGCAACCAUUUAGAGCACCCUAGCAACCCAAAGCAUAGAGGGAUAUCUUCAAAUCUGAAUAUCAUAGAGGCAUGGGGGUUGGUUUAUAUCAUUCAUACUGGCAAGCAGCCUUUGGAGUAUCAUCAUUGGUAGCUGCCAAGCCACUCCCUAGCAACCAAAUAGAGUACCCUAGCAACCGUUUUGCAAGACCUAUAUCUCUGCAUCAGAACAUCGUAGAGACAUGGCGGUUGGCUUAUAUUGGCAAGCAGCCUUUGGUGUAUCAUCAUUGGCAGCUGCUAAGCCACUCCCUAGCAACCAAACAGAGUACCCUAGCAACCGUUUAGCAAGACCUAUAUCUCUGUAUCAGAGCAUCGUAGAGACAUGGCGGUUGGCUCUUUUGACUCAUGCUAGCAAACUGGACUUCCAACAUGCUACACAUGCUAGCAGUGAAUAGCUACAUGCUAAUAGUGAUUAGCUAAGUGCUAAAGUGUCUAAGAACAUGCUAAGAACUCUAUAAAAACACCAUAGUAACCAUCUGUGACAACUACCAACCACCUAGUAACAUCAUAGCAACCACCUAGGUUACCAUAGCAACUGCCUAGCAACCACUCAUUACACCCUAGCAACCGCCUAGCAACACCUUAGCAACUGCCCCAAGUACCUUACAACUGCCUAGCAACCGCCUAGCAACCACCCAGGUUACCAUAGCAACCGCCUAGCAACCACCCAGAACACCCUAGCAACCGCCUAGCAACACCUUAGCAACCGCCCCAAGUACCUUACCAACUGCCUAGCAACCGCCUAGCAACCACCCAGGUUACCAUAGCAACCGCCUAGCAAACACCCAGAACACCCUAGCAACCGCCUAGCAACACCUUAGCAACCACCCCAAGUACCUUAGCAACUGCCUAGCAACCGCCUAGCAACCACCCAGGUUACCAUAGCAACCACCUAGCAACCACCCAGAACACCCUAGCAACCGCCUAGCAACACCUUAGCAACCA